RNAcentral lists this long non-coding RNA (792 nucleotides) under Gossypium barbadense (sea-island cotton). Its description in RNAcentral is "long non-coding RNA (GBAR_LNC012713)". Lineage: Eukaryota; Viridiplantae; Streptophyta; Magnoliopsida; Malvales; Malvaceae. The record is from RNAcentral.
UUUCUUCAAACCCCAAAUCCUUAAUAAAAUCUUUUUCUUUCAGUUCUUAUUUCCUUCCCCUUUCUUUCUCUUCUAUCUUCUCUUUCUUCUCUUAUAUAUUCUGCUAUUAUUCUCUCUCUUUUUCAUUUUUUCCUUCUCAUUCUAUUCUCUUCUGAAUUUGUUUUCUUUUUCUUUUUUCACUUUGGGGGACCAUGGCUAUAAGGUCCCCCCAAACCCCGAACUCACAAGACCCUUAAGGGUCUCGUCCCAUCACCACGCAGCAACAAUCGUAGGAAAGUCAAGGUUGACACCGAUCUGCCUAUCAGGACGACUUCACCAAUGCCGCCUGACAUGCAACCUUCACCAUAUUUUUUUUUUCUGGUUUUCCAUUUGUAUUUGUUUUGUAUUUGUAUUUGGGUUCUAUAUUCGGGUAUUUUGGUGCCGCCAAUGAAGAAGGCUUGACCAAAAAAAUUAUUUUUUUAACUAAUUACUAACGGUUGUCAGAAAAUAGGGGUGUUGCAGAGGCAAACACCCCAUUCCUAUAAUUAAUGUGGGUGGAAUACCAUUUUCAAAAUUUUUAAAUUUUUUUAUAUUAUAUACGUAAAAAAAAGCCUAAUUUACCUUUAAUUUUACUUUCUGGUGCAAAAGUAAAAUUGUCUGUUGGGCUUAAAUAUAUCCAGAAAUCCAGACUGGUUGCAAAAGUAACAAAAAGUGUAAAAUUAAUAUCAAAUUUUAUUUAUUACAUAUAUUAUAAUAGUUAGACAUAAAAUAAAGAAUAGCUAAUACGAAUUUAAAAUUGAAAUUAGAAAUACG